CCUGGUUGAUCCUGCCAGUAGUCAUACGCUUGUCUCAAAGAUUAAGCCAUGCAUGUCUGAGUGUAAAUGAAUUUCACCGUGGAACCGCGAAUGGCUCAUUAAAUCGGUUUUAGUUUACUUGACGGUCCUUUGCUAUUCGGAUAGCCGUAGCAAUUCUAGAGCUAAUACGUGCGCAGAGGGGCGUAGCCCUGUGUUUACUAGAUUUCCACCAACUGUUGAUGGUGAGUCAUGGUAACCUUGUCGGACCUCGCAAGAGGCACGUCAAUUAAGAUUCCGCCCCAUCAGCUGUGAUGGUAGGGUAUUGGCCUACCAUGGCGUUAACGGGUAACGGAGGAUUAGGGUUUGGUUCCGGAGAGGGAGCCUGAGAGACGGCUACCACAUCUAAGGAAGGCAGCAGGCGCGCAAAUUACUCAAUCCCGACGCGGGGAGGUAGUGACAAAAAAUAACAAUGCUUGUGCCUUGUGCACGAGCAAUUGGAAUGAGAACAAUUUAAAGCCCUUAUCGAGGAUCUAUUGGAGGGAAAGUCUGGUGCCAGCAGCCGCGGUAAUACCAGCUCCAAUAGCGUAUAUUAAAGUUGUUGCAGUUAAAAAGCUCGUAGUUGAAGGUUUAACGCUUGCUGUGCGGCCGCUUGAUUGCGGUGCGUGCGGCGUGUGUUUUAGCUUGGGUGUGUUUGUGCACCCAUUGUUUACCGUGAGAAAAUCAGAGUGUUCAAAGCAGGCUAUGUGCUUGAAUACGUCAGCAUGGGAUAAUGAUUCANGACCCUGGUGGUCUUUGCAUUGUUGGUUGCGUGCCGGGAGUAAUGAUUAAUAGGGAUGACUGGGGGCACUCGUACUCACAGGCCUGAGGUGAAAUUCUAAGACUCUGUGAUGACGGCCGACUGCGAAAGCAUGUUGCCCAGGGCGUUUUCAUUAAUCAAGAACGAAAGUCAGGGGAUUGAAGAGGAUUAGAUACCCUCGUAAUCUUGACCAUAAACUAUGCCGACUCAGGAUUGGUGGAUGGCGUGUUUUUUGCCUUCACCAGCACUGUAUGAGAAAUCAAAGUCUUUGGGUUCCGGGGGGAGUAUGGUCGCAAGGCUGAAACUUAAAGGAAUUGACGGAAGGGCACCACCAGGAGUGGAGCCUGCGGCUUAAUUUGACUCAACACGGGGAAACUCACCAGGUCCGGACAUACGUAGGAUUGACAGAUUGACCGCUCUUUCAUGAUUGUAUGGUUGGUGGUGCAUGGCCGUUCUUAGUUCGUGGAGUGAUUUGUCUGGUUAAUUCCGUUAACGAACGAGACCUCCGCCUGCUAACUAGGUGGCCGCUGUGUGCAGCGGUGCACCUUCUUAGAGGGACUGCGGGCGUUUAGUCCGUGGAAGUUGGAGGCAAUAACAGGUCUGUGAUGCCCUUCGAUGUUCUGGGCCGCACGCGCGCUACACUGGUCGGUGCAACGAGUGUAUUUGUUUGUCCGACAGGCCUGGCAAAUCUGUGAAGCCCGACCGUGCUUGGGAUAGAUUCUUGCAAUUUUUGAUCUUGAACGAGGAAUUCCUAGUAAACGCAAGUCAUCAGCUUGCAUUGAUUACGUCCCUGCCCUUUGUACACACCGCCCGUCGCACCUACCGAUUGGGUGGUCCGGUGAAACACCAGGAUUGGGACGCAGUCCGUAAGGGUUGUGUCCUGAGAAUGGAGGUGAACCUUGCCAUCUAGAGGAAGGUGAAGUCGUAACAAGGUUUCCGUAGGUGAACCUGCGGAAGGAUC
Molecule: ribosomal RNA, 1736 nt
Filed under: uncultured stramenopile
Lineage: Eukaryota
Description: SSU rRNA
Rfam family: Eukaryotic small subunit ribosomal RNA
Source: RNAcentral